Molecule: long non-coding RNA, 6961 nt
Organism: Falco peregrinus (peregrine falcon)
Lineage: Eukaryota; Metazoa; Chordata; Aves; Falconiformes; Falconidae
Exons: 3
Source: RefSeq, a predicted model, not a curated record
UGUGGGUGGUUUUUGGUUGGUUGGUUUUUUUUGUUCUGUUAAACCUUGUGACUUACUGAAGCAGCUUCUAGAAACCUACAGCCAGCACCUGCUGGAGCCACGUCAGGCCAUGCUGGACCAUACAGCCAGCGACCCUUGGUUCUGCCACGGAACACCCCUGAUGGCCACCAACUUGUCUCUACCAAACAGCUGCAAAACCGGAGUGACAUCUUUACAGGAUGAAUGAAUAGACGGUGUAUUUUAGCGCUAGGAAGCUAGCGUUAGGAUCUCUUCUCUGGCUUUCCUCUGUUACUUGAAUUAUUAAGACAUCUGCUCGGCAGCCAGGUUUCACCUGUAUUGCACUGCUGCUUUUUUACAGGCCAGCACUCACUGCUGGGCUUCCCAUCGCUGCUGGAAGCUUUCUGAGAAAGCGCCUGAAUUGCCGUGGCUUAUCAUCAAUGCAGUCAUACAAUUUCCUCCUGGAAAUCUGAGAAGCCUUUUGUGGGUCGCAUACUUUUUGUUUCAGGCAACUGUAACGCAGACAGUGGGGUCAUCUCAGCAUUUCUGUUGCUGCAGAAGCACGUCAUCUCCUGACGGUAGGAUUUCACCGCUGGAGGGGAGAAUACUUCGAUACAGAAGAAAUCCGAACACAGUGAGAAGCUUACCUGGGAAGUGUCUUUCUGUCCUCCGAAGGCAGGCUCCUGACAGGAGCGCUGAGGAAGCGAGCCCACGGCGCGGCUGCUCAUCGCGGGCACUGCCAGGCCCAGACAGAUGCGAGAGGAACGUCCCAACGGGUGAAACGUGCCACAGCCCUGCCGACGGCCACCACCGCUCUCCCCUCCAGCAGCACCAGCCCAAAGAGAAGGGCAGCGAUAGCAGGGAGCCCCACGGCACAACACCCUGCCGAGUCUGGUGGGGCUCAGUACAACGCUGCACUGCCGUGUAGCUGGUUUGCUCCCCUGCUGCCGUACGGAGGCUGGGAGCACUGUACCUGCGGGGAUUCUGGUGACUCUGCCAGGCUGCUGCUUGCUGUUACUCACUCUUUGGAAAAGGUAGCAUGGAACUCUGCUAGAGGCAGCAUCUUUCACUGCUUUCUUCUUCUCAGGAUACUAUAAUCAGUAUUUCAUUUUUUUUUAAUUAUUCAAUCCUUAAUACCUCACGUCAUUCUGAUACUUGUUUCUGUCUAGGAACCAACUUUACAUUAGUAUGAGAUCCUACUGAGGACCAGAUCCAAAGACCAUUAACAUUCAUGAGACUCCUUCAGCUGAGCAGUUGGCUGAAAGUAUUUUACUUCUUGAUGGAAUAGUGAGAUAUUACAUGUAUUUAUGCACUUCGGAGUUGCAGCUAUUUAAGAGCAGAUAGAUUUAAAAAUAAACAUCAUUUACUUCACAGACCAGAUGCAUCUCCCUCUUCAGAAUCUCAUUAAUUUUUACUAAAAAUGCUAACACGUGAAGCCGCUGCCAAAAGCUGUUGGCAAACAAUACAAACACCGCAAUGUUCUGAACAGUUUUAUCAAGUGACUCUUCCGAGCUUUUUGCCAAUCCUGAGUGCAGUAUACAAAGAGACUUAAAAGACUUUUAAAUGGUUUGUAGUUUUUUUCAUUUAUUGUAGAAAAGUUAUUGUAAUGCGGUUCAUUUUUGUACAUCUAAAUUCCAUAAAACAAAUCCAUAGAAAUGAGGAUACUAUCAGCAUGCAGUCUGCAUUUUCUUUUUUAAAUGUUUCUGAUCACAAAAAUACCACCACUUUUUUUUUUUUUUUUUUCCUUUGAAAGCCACUAAAAGCAGAGGGAGAGCAAAGCAUGCAACACUGUACACAUUUGCAUAGUAUAUUUUACCCAGCAUGCCUUGUAGAAUGCUACACAUACAGUAUCUAUAGAAGUAAAAACAGAAAGGGGAAAAUCAGCAGAGAACACGAAUUUGUGGGUAUUUUCUUUUUUUCUUUAGCAAAGGCAGUAAUGUCUUUACCAGUGUGACUCUGAACUGGCUCCCAGUGAGGCUGGAGGUCACGCCAUCAAGCUAUCACUGGGAACCAGUCUGGGUGAGCGUCUGGCGAUUUUCUGGGAUCUGAGAAGCCCAAGGUCCACAAACUGCAGUUUGAAUGACUGUUUUCAUCUUCGUUCUUCACCCCUCUAUUUCUCAUGCAUGCACACAAUUUGCAUUUUGCUCGAUUCUCUUCCUCUGCUGUUCCGGUACAACAUCGCUUGCUUUCUGUCUCUCGGCAUGAGCAAGGAAUCGGGCGUGUUUCAAACGUAAAUACACCUUGGGCCUAUAGCUGCAUCCCUUAGCCUUACUUUCCCUUAUGUUUUACCUGCUCAGCAGCAUCAGUGUAAGUUUUGGGUAGACUCGUCCGCAGCUCUCAGGCUGGAACAUUCUUCUCUGCCCCAGCUCCCGUCCCGUGCACGAGAGCACGUACUUCUGCAGCCCCAAGAAGGAACUCACUGGAGUAUUACAUUCCUGACCUUGGGCUACUAGUGUGUUCGCGGUAUAUUCAUCAGUCAUAUGCCAAAAUCUAUACACUGGCCAAAAUCAGAAUUAAUUAAUGUAAUUUCAGCUUUGAGGAGGAAAUUAGCAGAAAUUAAUGCAGUGGACUUUCUAAUUUUAAAAGGUACUCUUUUUUUUUUUUUUUCAUUGAUUAAUAUGGAAGGAAUGCAAGUUAUUGAAAAAUCAAUCACACAGGCAAAAGGCAAGGCUUCGAAAUAAACCGCUGAAGUAUUAAGAGAGCAAGUUAAACUGAUCAAAACUGCAAUAAAUCCACUGAUGCUGGAUCAAAAAAUCUACCCCUCUUUUUCAAAAAUACAAUGCCAAAUGCAAUAGUGGAAUUACUGUAAAUUUGUGCUAUUACAAAUGUGCUUCUUUUUCCUUGCUCUGUUUUUACACCAUUGGCAAAAUAUAUUAUCCUGUAUGUACAAUAUAUUUUCUCACUAUAUUGAUUUUCUACUGCUUAUACAGAGUAGAAUUAAUAUCAAAGGGGACGGUGGUGUUAAAUUUAAUUACAUUUUGUUUUUCAGGAAAUAUUGAUAAGGCAUAUGAUAACCGGAAUGUGACGUUUAUGGUCGGACCUUGCAAAUACUGGCUCUGGAGAGGACAGUAGGAAACACUGUGUCCAGUAGGAAGGUGUUUGUAGGAUCUAGUCCAGAGAGUAACUCAUUGCCAAGAAAUGGGAGGGGAAAAGGCAGAUCUACUGAACGUCACCAAGCCCAAGCCCCAUGCUCCUCCCAGUUUCACCACUUUCAAAGGAAUAGAGGAAUGACACACUCUUACUAACAUUUUAAAAUGAUUUCUACCUUCUCCUAGAAUUCUCUAUAUUGAUUCACUUACAAUAUUUCUCUUGACUUCUUAAAUGGAUUCCACAAAUAAUAGAAGAGAUCUCAACACAAAUUUCAAUACUAAGUAGCAUUUUCAGCUCUUUGUCCAAGUUAAUUCCUUACAUAUACUUUACACAUUAAAAAAUAAAGGGAUAUUUUAAUAAGACAUACCUUUAUUUUUCUAUAUAAAAUAAACUGGACUCGAAUAACAAUCUAACAAAACUUAUUUGAAUGAGUACUCUUCAAAUAAUAUAUUAUCUUUUGGCAUAAUUUUAAAGACAGUGGGUACUUAAUUUCCCCAGAGUUAAAACUGGCGACAUUACAGUAUCUUGUGGUCUUGUUACUCUUUGUAGAACUACUACUGGAAGGAAUGAGCGGUAACUGCAACAAAAUAACAUGGUAGCCGAAUCCCACCUAUACAAACUUGUAUUAAUACCAACUGGGGUACUAUAACUCAAUUUUAAAAUACACUUUUUUAGGAGUGAAACCACAUUUGUAUAUAUGGAACCUUACAAAGUAUGCAUCUGAUUAUUUAGUUUGUGGUCUCCAAUAAUUUUCUUCAAAAAGAAAAAAAAAAGAUGAGCAUGGAAUCAGGGACAGGCUUCAGAAGCACUGAACUUGUAAAACAAAGUACAGCAGAGGACACAUUUAAUACGUUCUUAAAGAAAAAAUGACUAAUGAAAGCCCUAACUUACUGAAACCACCCUGCUAUAAAGUAGCAGUAUUAGCAAUAUUAUUUUGAGACUGGCAAUGUCAGUAAAGAUAGGAGAUUCUGGCAUGUUCCAGAGUAUGGUAUUGAGACCAAACUGAAUUCGGAAGAUUUGCAGUCAAAGGCAGCUCGAAGUUACAGCCUGGGCACAUCCAGAGGAACGACCACCCCCUUGCCUACUGCCACCUUUCCUCCUUUUUCACUCUUAAGUGUAUUAACAGUCACUUGAAAAGCCAGGAGUACAAAAGGUUAACCCCCCAAUACCAACUCCAGAAGCAGCUUUCACACCUGGGGAAACCCCAGAAACCGUUUCUCUCCUCCUUGCAGCACACCCAGCUCUAACACGGUACCAUCCGCGGCGCGUGGAGCCGCCCCAGCCCCCGGCACGCUUCAUUCACCUGGGUCCCUCCGUCAGGUCAGAACCGCGCGGUGCCAGCAGCAGGCCGAGCGCCCAGCAGCUGAGAAACGGCGUGAUCAGCAAGAGGUAGCAGCACUUGCUUCAGAAAUUGCUCUUGCUUAUCAAGCACAAAAUCACGGUCCCCCCGAUCUCCAUGGCAAGAUGAUUCCUCAGGAUAAUCUGGGUGCUGGGCCACUCCGCACUACCAGUUCUCAAGCAGAACUGAUCUUUGUCAGACCGACCUGUUCAGAAAACGAUCAUCUAAUUUGGCCACUGUUUAUAAACUACAAUUUGAUAUAGAACAGCUUUAGUUGCAUUUCUUUAAACUUAAUUUUGUAAUACAUCCAGUUAGAAAACGUCAGCUGUUGUGAGGUGCACAUCCCAUGGGAUCAGUGUUAAUCUACGGAACUAGUAAAAGAAGCUGCGCAUCUGUUACACGCAGCUUGCCAAAAAGAAAGUAUUUUAACUUAACGGUUUAACAAUUAAUUGUCUUUGAAGUGGCUUCAAGAUUUUUAAAAUGCUUUGUUAAUUCAUCCACAAACAUAUGAAUGCACUGACAUAUAUUGUCUUUAGAUAUUGAGACCGUUGUUAUCACCUUUAUUGGCUAAAUCGUCACUAAUCAAAAGUGGCCUAAUGAAAAAUUGGGUAACAACAACAAAAACCUCCGGAAAAAAAAUCCAUGUAUAAACAUUUCUAAAAUCCUCUGUAUAAGCCAGAGCUUAGGAACAGAACUCUGAUCUUUAAUAAUAUUUUAAUAACCAGAAGAAAUGGUACAAGGACUGGAAAAUUAGUCUUACUCGUAUUCAUUCAGGAAUACAUGAACUUCACAAUUUUAUAUAGCGCCAUUGCAUAAUAAAUCACAAUACAGCUGGCUAGCAUUGCUGAAGUUCUAAUACAAAUACUAUGAGUUAACAUGUCCUGAUCAACAUUGCAGCUUUUACGGAUUACCGUGUUUCCUAAAAAUAAUUUACUUUGUAAAAUAAAGCGUUCCCAUAGCUUGUAUCUAGAAUAAAUUAAUGAUCUAUUAGCAUGUUUAGUAUAUUUGUACUUAAAGAUAUAUCUAUCUUCAAAGAAUAAAAAAAACAGCAAGCAAGGAGACCUGCUGGAUCACUUCUAACUGGUUUCUUAUAUUAAAAUGGAAUAGGCCGUGGGAGAGGAGAGGGUAAACUGAUUACAUACAGUAGUAAAGUAAACGUAAACCCACAUAAUAAAGGACCUUGAUGUGUUCUUUCAAGACAAUACAUGACUUCCCUCACAAGCUUGUUUUUAUUAGAACAAACAAAGUUUUGGCACUUCAGAUGUUGCAGGUGAUGGAAUUUGUGCAUACGCGUUGUGUAGAUCUUUCCCUUUACUAGCGUGACAUGGAAGACUUAAAAACAAGGCUCCAAAAGGCUCUCGAAAUAAAUGACAUUUUUGUCUAGGAAAUGAUAAAGCAGUAACUUUGUUUACUAGAAAAUAUAUGUAGGUGCUUCGCAGCUAUCUGCCAUUAAAAUGCAAAUAUCUUCAAGCAGUUAAAUGAUCUGAUCCCUAACGCUACUACAGAAUAAAGAUAAACAGCUGUCUAAUCUAGGUUUAUACAUCUCAGUGCAUCCUUUGCAAUUAAUACUUUAAUGCACACAAACAAGAAACUUAUUAAAGCUUAUAGAAAAAAAUGUUUUGCCUAAUGCCUUCUUUCUCAUGCAGGUAUGUGUGCUGUACAUGUAACAAAGAUUUGUAAAAAUUACUGGAGAAUGCUCCACUGUGCUAUAGCAGAAAAUAUUAAGAGAAGGCAGCUGAAGCCACCAUUCCCAGACCAGAUCUUGCCGCGCUUUCUCAGCCUAAACGCUCUUUUGGAAUCUGCAGACAUUCAGCCUGAGAAAAUCUGACAGGAUCAGAUCAGUGAAAUUUAAACUGAUCUUCUGGAGAGUUCUUGUGCGAUGCUGGAAUUUUCAGACAUUCAAAGAUGGAUUUUGAAGGAUGUAACAUACAGGUAGGUACUCAGAUGUACUGGAAUGUAGGUGCUCUACACACUGGGUAAGAAGAGUGUAUUGUUUUCCAUUAAAAAUGCAGAAUACUAAAAAUGGGAGAAAAAAUACAACGUAUCUAUACACUCAUGUUCCAUUUUGGGACUACUAGCUGUAUUUAGGUAAACAAGAAAUAAAAAUUUUAAAAAAGACGACAAUUCUCAACCUCUAACCACACAAACUAUCCUUAAGUUUGUUAAUUUCCCUGUUUCUGUUUCCCCUUAUCCUGCCAUAGUUCAUCAUUGCUGACCGCAACAAAAAUGUCAGUACUGGCUAAACGAAAGAAAUCAUUUUGCUGCAACAUUCAUGCCAAGUCUAAAAAUAAUUUCAAACUGGAAAGGAUUCUGUAACUGCUGCAAUAAUUUGUGAUAUUUGGCACUCUCAAUAGUUUACAUUUGGUUUGUCUGAAAAAGCCAUUCUGGAAAUAAGUAGUUAGAAUAAAUCCUUUUAUUCUAACUUGAAAUGUAAAUUGAGCUUCCAGCAAACAAAUACUGUAGCUGACUUUCUGGCUUCUAGUGGAUUGUAAUUUUCAGAUUUUUCAUUUGUUGUUUUUCUUUUUUUUUUUUUUU